AUUCAGCUGAGACUCUCUUGAGCAAAUUUUCCAAGACUCCUUAAGGGGAAGGACCUGGUCCAAGUUGACUUGGUGUCUCCGUCAUCAAGCACAAUGCCUGGUUCACAAUGGACUCUUCAUGCAUCUCUUUCUACAAGAUGAGAAGGAUCAGAGGGCUGCUGGAGGAAGUAAAGAAGAAAAUAUAAACAGCAGUUAGCAUGAUGCCUGGCACAUGGUGUGCAUUCAGGAUAUAACUGGGGCCUUUGGGAACCAGGCAAUAUUCCAGACACACAUGACAUCAGUAACAUCCAUAUGUCUGUGAUGGGGUAGGAGAGAAGACUACUUUUCAGGAACCCUCCUACCUCCUUGACUCUUCUGUAGCCCCAAACAUCCCCAUGCAAAUAAGCCCAUAAAAGGAGCCCUGAGUCCUUCAACUCAAACAUGUCAUCACUGUACCCGGGUAAAUAAAAAUAAAAACUCAUGCCAUAUAUUGAUUUACUGGUGAUCAUAUUAUAUAUGCAAUUUGUAUGCUGCCUUGUCGCCUACCAUAGUGUGGAUAUUUUCUCAUGUGAUUAAAGACUCUU
RNAcentral lists this long non-coding RNA (563 nucleotides) under Homo sapiens (human). RNAcentral's name for it is "HSALNT0228334". The record is from RNAcentral. Lineage: Eukaryota; Metazoa; Chordata; Mammalia; Primates; Hominidae.